AUAGAUUAUGUUUUAGUGAAUCAUUAAAACGGUGAUGAUGAUGAUGUUAGUAUCUGUGUAAACUGCACGCUAUAGUAGCACCCUAAAAACUUUAGGUGAUGAUGAUGAUGAUAGUAUCUGUGUAAACUGCACACUAUAGUAGCACCCUAAAAACUUUAGGUGAUGAUGAUAGUAUCCGUGUUGACCACACGCUAUAGUAGCACCCUAUUUACCUUGUAGUUCACUUAAACAACUGUAUAUGUUAUGUAUUAUAAAACAUAAGAUAUUUCUAAGUAGAAUUAUUGUUUUAUUUUCAGUUCACAGCUAAAACUUGGAACUACUUUAUUAUUUACUAUUGUGGUGUUUAAAUCUAAUUAUACUGUUAAAUUUUUAGAGAACUUGGGGAGUUUCUGAAUUUAAGAUGUGUAUUUAUUCCAUCUUCAGAGAAAAGAUACAUUUUGAUGAAAAUGUUUUUGUAGAUUGAUGUGUGGUGGUCUUGUUUCGGAAUUGUUCCUGUUAAAUUCUUUAUUUACUUUAAAAUGUUGAUUUGAAAUCAGGAUAAAGCUAAGUAACGAGGAAAUAACAUGUUAAUAUACAGUAAAUAUUUGAAUUAUAAUGAAUAUGUCUGUGUGCUGUAAAGUAAAUGUUUCAGUUGUGAUAUAGUUGCUUUUUGAUAAAUUCUAAUCAUUGCUCACCAUGAAAAAGGUCAGUUGCCUACUUUUUAUAUGCUCAUAAUGCCCCGUAUUUCAUUACUAACAUUGAUGUUAUGUACAUUAGAAAUGUGCUUUUUUGAAUCAAUAAUUGUAUAGUUAACAUAACAGAUAAAAGUGAGAUUUAAACAGCUAUCAAAUAACCAGUGAGUAAAUUACAUUACAGAGAAAGACAGUAAUGAUUUAGUUUACUAACAUUAUAGAAUAUAUUUAUCUCACUUACUGUCUUAUACAGAAUGUAGCACAAGGUACGUAGUGGGCUUACAUCAAACAGUUUACACUUAGUCUGUGGUGUGAUGUUACUUGUAUUACAAGGUACGUAGUGGACUUACAUCAAACAGUUUACACUUGGUCUGUGGUGUGAUGUUACUUGUAGUACAAGGUACGUAGUGGGCUUAUGUCAAACAGUUUACACUUGUCCCUGGUGUGAUGUUACUUGUAGCACAAGAUACCUAGUGAGCUUACAUCAAACAGUUUACACUUGGUCCGUGGUGUGACGUUACUUGUAGUACAAGGUACGUAGUGGGCUUACAUCAAACAGUUUACACUUGGUCCGUGGUGUGAUGUUACUUGUAGUACAAGAUACAUAGUGGGCUUAUGUCAAACUUGAGUAAUGUUUGACUUUAAUAAAUCACACACAGAUAUUCUUUAUUUUAUAAUAAAUGAUUAACUUGCUGCAUCUAAAACCAAAAUGCUCUUAAUAUUUGAUGAGUGUUCAGAAACUGGUGGUUAAGAUUUGAAGAUAAAAAGUUGUAUAAAUGUAGGUGUGAAUUCUGGUAAGAUGUACAUUAUUUUCACAUUUUACAGUUGAACGUGUUAGAUGCUGCUGUAUAUUUUAACAUUAAGAAAAUUUGAGGCAGUAACCUGCUUGUAAAGAGAUAUAUCGACUUCCUGCUUCUUUUCUUGUUACUGUGUUUAAUUUUGAUAGCCACUUUAUAAGAUAUUUGGUUAAUAAGUUUUACAAUCAUCUGUUGUAACUACUGGUUUAUGGCUCGGCUCUUUCAGACCAGAGUUUGUAUGAAAAACAUUCCUGGACCAAUUAAAACACUAGAAUUCUUGAAGGGAUGGGAACAGUUGCAAGUUAUUCUUUAAAGAUUUCUUUAAAUGUUAUGAGGAUUAAGCCAAUGUAAGAAUUCCUGUUGUUUCACGCAAACUUAGACAUUAAAACCUGUUUCAAUAGUAGUGUGCAAGUGAGUUUUGUUUCACAUAGAAAGUAGGCUUAAUCAUACACAAUAUUAAAUUGAAACAUUAUGUUCCUGGUUUUAAAUGUAUUUGCUUAUUAAGUUUAAUUUUUAUGUAUAUCCUGGCUCUGUUAUAUAGAAAACUAAAUAAAGUGAUAUGUUAUAAAUGUGUGAUGUUUAUGAGAUGUUAAAAUAUAUCAAAUCAAGAGAGAGUAAGACAACCAGUUGGUAUCGUUCAUAGAAGAAAUAAAAUAUAUUCAGAUCAUUCUUUUAAA
This 2145-nucleotide long non-coding RNA is filed under the name Limulus polyphemus (Atlantic horseshoe crab). RNAcentral describes it as "uncharacterized LOC111083992". Lineage: Eukaryota; Metazoa; Arthropoda; Merostomata; Xiphosura; Limulidae. The record is from RNAcentral.